Molecule: ribosomal RNA, 1467 nt
Filed under: uncultured prokaryote
Description: partial 16S ribosomal RNA
Rfam family: Bacterial small subunit ribosomal RNA
Source: RNAcentral
AGAGUUUGAUCAUGGCUCAGGAUGAACGUUGGCGGCGUGCCUAACACAUGCAAGUCGAACGGGAAGCCGAUAUUCGUAUUGGUGGAGAGUGGCGCACGGGUGCGUAACACGUAGCUCACCUGCCCUGAAGACGGGGAUAACGUUGGGAAACCAACGCUAAUACCGGAUAAGCUCACGGUUCGUAGGAAGCUGUGAGAAAAGCGUUAGCGCUUCAGGAGGGGGCUGCGGCCCAUCAGCUAGUUGGUAGGGUAAAAGCUUACCAAGGCGACGACGGGUAGGGGGCCUGAGAGGGUGGCCCCCCACACUGGGACUGAGACACGGCCCAGACUCCUACGGGAGGCAGCAGUGAGGGAUAUUGCGCAAUGGGCGAAAGCCUGACGCAGCGACGCCGCGUGGGUGAAGAAGGGUUUCGGCUCGUAAAGCCCUUUUCUGUGUGACGAUAAUGACGGUAGCACAGGAAAAAGUGUCGGCUAACUACGUGCCAGCAGCCGCGGUAAAACGUAGGACGCAAGCGUUAUCCGGAAUUACUGGGCGUAAAGCGCGUGCAGGCGGGGGUUUAAGUGAGGCAUGAAAGCUCCCAGGCUAAACCGGGAGAGGCUGUCUGAUACUGGAUCACUGGAGUACGUUAGAGGGGUGUAGAAUUCCGCGUGUAGUGGUGAAAUGCGUAGAUAUGUGGAGGAACACCGGUGGCGAAGGCGACACUCUGGGACACACCUGACGCUGAGGCGCGAAAGCAUGGGUAGCGAACGGGAUUAGAAACCCCGGUAGUCCAUGCCGUAAACGAUGUACACUAGAUGUACGUGCCCCGGAAGGGGUGUGUGUGUCUAAGCAAACGCGAUAAGUGUACCGCCUGGGGAGUACGGUCGCAAGGCUAAAACUCAAAGGAAUUGACGGGGGCCCGCACAAGCAGCGGAGCGUGUGGUUUAAUUCGAGGAUACGCGAAGAACCUUACCUGGGUUAGACAUAGCGGUGGUAGAGAAGCGAAAGCAGAGUGACCUACGGGAGCCACGACAGGUGCUGCAUGGCUGUCGUCAGCUCGUGCCGUGAGGUGUUCGGUUAAGUCCGCAAACGAGCGCAACCCUCGGGUCUAGUUAUAAGUGUCUAGACCGACUGCCCUCGACAAGGGGGAGGAAGGUGGGGAUGACGUCAAGUCAGCAUGGCCUUUAUGUCCAGGGCUACACACACGCUACAAUGGGCAGUACAAAGGGUCGCGAAGCCGCGAGGUGGAGCCAAUCUCAGAAAGCUGUUCGUAGUUCGGAUUGUAGGCUGCAACUCGCCUGCAUGAAGUCGGAGUUGCUAGUAACCGCAGGUCAGCAACACUGCGGUGAAUACGUUCCCGGGCCUUGUACACACCGCCCGUCACGUCAUGGAAGCUGGUCACGCCUGAAGUCGGGGAGCUAACCGCAAGGAGGCAACCGCCGAAGGCGGGGCUGGUGACUGGGACGAAGUCGUAACAAGGUAGCCGUA